Molecule: ribosomal RNA, 1926 nt
Filed under: Oscillospiraceae bacterium
Lineage: Bacteria; Bacillati; Bacillota; Clostridia; Eubacteriales; Oscillospiraceae
Description: partial 23S ribosomal RNA
Rfam family: Bacterial large subunit ribosomal RNA
Source: RNAcentral
AUGGUCAAGCUACAAAGGGCGCAGGGCGAAUGCCUUGGCAUCAGAGGCCGAAGAAGGACGCGGUAAGCUGCGAAAAGCUACGGGGAACCGCAAGCAGGUUGUGAUCCGUAGAUAUCCGAAUGGAGCAAUCCAGCGUGAGUCAUGUCACGUUAUCCUACAGUGAAUACAUAGCUGUAGGAGGGGAACCGCCUGAACUGAAACAUCUAAGUAGGGCGAGGAAGAGAAAUCAAACGAGAUUCUGUAAGUAGUGGUGAGCGAAAGCGGAAUAGGCCAAACCAGAGGUAGAAAUACCUGUGGGGUUAUGGACUGCAUUUAGCAUUGGCAGAGACUAGCCGAAGUGUGUGGGAAAGCACGCCGAAGAAUGUGAGAGCCAUGUAGGCGAAAGUCAAAGCCAGCGAGCAGGAUCCAGAGUACCGCGGAGCACGUGGAAUUCCGUGGGAAGUCGGGGGGACCACCCUCCAAGCCUAAAUACCAUCUGAUGACCGAUAGCGAAGAGUACUGUGAAGGAACGGUGAAAAGCACCCCGGGAGGGGAGUGAAAGAGAACCUGAAACCCUGUGCCUACAAGCACACAGAGCACGUCAAAGUGUGAUGUGGUACCUAUUGUAGAAUGGUCCGGCGAGUAUAUGUCAGCAGCAAGGUUAAGCACUAGAGGUGCGGAGCCGAAGGGAAACCAAGUUUGAAUAGAGCGGCGAGUUGCUGGUAUAUGACCCGAAACCGGGUGACCUACCCAUGAUCAGGCUGAAGUGGGAGUAAAAUCCCAUGGAGGGCCGAACCGACCUCCGUUGAAAUGGCGGCGGAUGAAUUGUGGGUAGCGGAGAAAUUCCAAUCGAACCCGGAUAUAGCUGGUUCUCCCCGAAAUAGCUUUAGGGCUAGCCUCAUAUAAGAUUACCGGAGGUAAAGCACUGAAUGGUCUAGGGGUCGAGAGAUUACCGAAGCCUAUCAAACUCUGAAUGCCGGAUAAUCGCUGUAUGGGAGUCAGACUAUGUGAGAUAAGUUUCAUGGUCGAAAGGGAAACAGCCCAGAUCCACAGCUAAGGUCCCAAAGUACAUUUAAGUGGGAAAGGAUGUGGAACUGCUAAAACAACCAGGAUGUUGGCUCAGAAGCAGCCAUACAUUUAAAGAGUGCGUAAUAGCUCACUGGUCGAGUGGUUCUGCGCCGAAAAUUCAACGGGGCUAAAAUGUACACCGAAGCUUGGGCAAUGGAGCAAUCCAUUGGGUAGGGGAGCGUCGAAUGCGGGGUGAAGCAUGAGCGGAAGCGCGUGUGGACUGCAUUCGAGUGAGAAUGCCGGAAUGAGUAGCGCGAAUUAUGUGAGAAUCAUAAUGGCCGAAAGUCUAAGGAUUCAGGAGGAAGGUUCGUCCGCUCCUGGUGAGCCGGGAGCUAAGGUGAGGCCGAAAGGCGUAGCCGAUGCACAUACGGUUGAAAUUCCGUAGCCUCCGAAAUACUUAAGCACAGGGACAUCUUAGAAGGGACUGAGCCGGGCGUUGGUAGACCCGGUCGAAAGGGAGCGGAAUUGUCCGCGAAGCAGUCUUGGAAAAGGGCGAGAAAAGCUGUGUGGAUGUAAUAGGAGCCCGUACCGCAAACCGACACAGGUAGACAGGAAGAGGAUUCUAAGGCCAACGGGAGAAGGGUUGUUAAGGAACUCGGCAAGUUGACCCCGUAACUUCGGAAGAAGGGGUGCUCACGGAAGUGAGCCGCAGAGAAUAGGCCCAGGCAACUGUUUAGCAAAAACACAGGUCUCUGCUAAAUCGAAAGAUGACGUAUAGGGGCUGACACCUGCCCGGUGCCGGAAGGUUAAGAGGAGAAGUGAGAGCUUUGAAUUGAAGCCCCGGUAAACGGCGGCCGUAACUAUAACGGUCCUAAGGUAGCGAAAUUCCUUGGCAGGUAAGUUCUGUCCCGCACGAAUGGCGUAACGAUCUGGGAGCUG